AAUCUCUUACACUCCAACCACAAAGGGUAGAGAUUUAUGAAACUUUUUUGGCUUUUUAUGCUUUUUUUAUACAUUUAUACACGUUAGAGUUUAGUAAAAUAGAGAUAUAGUGAACUAAAUUGUAAUAAUGAAGUUAUGAAACUAGGCCUAGUUUAAAUUUAUAUUGGUGCAUGUGUGUGUAUUUUGCAGUGCAAAUUAAAGCAUAUUAUUGAGAUGGAAAAUCAACUUCUCAGGACGUGUGUGCAACAAUAUGAUGAAGGAAAAUGGAAACUAGUGUCUAAACAAGAAGGUAAUAUUGCUUUUAUCAUGUUAAUUAUUUCACAUCUUUUCUCUCUCUCUCAAUUAUCCAUAAAAUUCAUUUAUAUAUGUAAGUUAAUAAUAGAUGAUAAAAAAUAAGAAUAAUACACAAUUCUAAUUUUUUUUUCUCACUUUCUAUAUUUUUCUUUGUGUAUGUAGAGGGUUCCUUACAUCCAAGAACUUCUAAUGAUGUGAACUAUUAAUCAAGCAUGUCCUAGUGAUAUAUCAUAGUGCAAUAAUAUUUGGUGAGAUUAGUGAAGGAGAGAAGUGUGAUGGAAGAUAAAGGAAGCAACAAAUAAAAUGACACAUGAUGCAUGGGUCAUCAAGAUAUUAAGGUAUAGGAAGCUUAAUUCAUUAAUAAUAAAAGUUUAUGAACUUCUUGUAGAGGGUCAAAAUUAGAGUGAUGUUUUUGUUGGUAUUAAUUUGUGGGAUUUACAAUGUCAAAUAGAUUUUAUUGAGAUUAUAAAUACCACGAAUUGAUAUCAGAAUGAACAUCACUCCAACUUUGACCUUCUAUAAGAAGGUCACUAACAAUAUAUUGUUAAUAAAUUAAGUUCCUCGUUCAGAUUAAGAAAUAUGAAGUAGCAUGUGUCAUUUUCUUUGUUGCUCCCUUUUAUCUUUCAUUUUAAUCGUUUGGUCCAGUUUGACACAUAUGAUUAUAUUUUAGUAUCACUAUGUGUGAUUUCUUCUUUUUAUUUCAUUUUUUGUUUCACAAUUAAGUAAAACAAAUUCAUAUUAUGCCAUGUGUUUAAAUCAUUCAAAUUUCCUCAAAUUUUCAAGGAUUUGAGUGCUAAAACACAACAUUUUUUAUGGGUGAAAAGGAGAAACAAAGAAAUAAAACAAAAAUUAAAAAUUGAAUAAAUUGCUAAACAAGACGUGAAUCUCGUUGAGCCCAACUAGGUCAUUACUUGGAGAUAAUUGAUAAGAAAGAGACACAUAUUAUUUUAUGCAAGGAAUGACCUACAAUUAUUUUAAUAAUAUCCAAUCGAAAUAUUGAGUAACUUAUUUUAGAAUCCCAAUUUUAGCUACAAGAACUUUGUGUUGUCUCAUAUUUUUUUAUUUCCAUGUAUUUCUUCACCAAAGUAUUUUCAAAUUUAGAACUAAGUAGUUUAAGAGUGUUAAUAGAAUUAAUAACAUUUUUUAGCUUCAAAAAAUGGAAAAGAAAUACAAUGGAAAGAUGAUAGUAUCAAAUUUAGGAUUGUAUUUAACAUGAAAGUAUCAAUAUAGAUAAAGUUUUAGAAUACAUUGGGUGGUUAUGAUAUUUACUAAGAGCAACAAAUACUAGUUUUACUUAUGUUGAUUCUAUUACAAACCCAAUGCAAUGUAUAAAUCAAUGCUUAAGAUGUAGGUUGGGAAUUGAAGCACCCCUUAUAUUCCUCAAUAAAAUCUUCCUUUGUGUUGACAAAAAAAAAUCUAAGAAUGUUGAUGAAGUCUUCUUAGCAUCUAAUUAUUUGUCCUAUGAGAUAAUUAUAAUAGAAUUUUGGAAAUUUAUUUAUUAUUUUAACAAUUUGAAAUUUGAAAGCUUAAAUAUUAGACUCCUCUAUAGAACAUAUAUUAACUUGAGCAUAGGGAU
Molecule: long non-coding RNA, 1870 nt
Filed under: Lupinus angustifolius (narrow-leaved blue lupine)
Lineage: Eukaryota; Viridiplantae; Streptophyta; Magnoliopsida; Fabales; Fabaceae
Description: long non-coding RNA (LANG_LNC001392)
Source: RNAcentral